UCUCUCUCUCUCUCUCUCUCUCUCUCUCUCUCUCUCUCUCUCUCUCUCUAAGAUUAUGAAAACCUCUCCAAGUCUUGAAAAAAAGAAGGUGCUUGGAGGCCUCUUAACCUUAUUACGAUCCUUCAUGGCCUUCUAGUUGCUUGUGGUCCUCUCCCUGACUCUUUUGGUUGCCAUUCCUUUUUCUCUAUUGUUCCGUCCUUGUCUCCGUCUUCAUCCCCAUCUUCGUCUCCAUCCCCAUCUUCGUCUUCAUCCCCAUCUUCGUCUUCGGUCUUCCACUCUUCAUGGCGAGACUUGCAAAGAAAGCUGGGAGAAUCAGUGAUAAUCGCUCUUACACUCUUUCUCCCAUUCUCUCUUUCUCUAUCUUUCUCGCCUUACGGCGGCCCUUCUGUUGAGGAUUGCCGUGAAGACGGGCAGGAGGACAGACAAGAAGAAGUUGCACCCCAGGCUGUGAGCAAUGAGAGCAUAGUUUAGGAAGCUUAGGAGAUCAUCAAUGACAGCUUUCUUGACUCUGGUCGCCAUGGGUGGUCCCCUGAAACAUGGCAGGCAAUGCUCACCUCACUUCUUUGAUGCCUUGACCAUAUCUUGAACAUUGGCUCGAGGCAUUUUCUCUAGCCCUUUUACCCUGAAAAAGCAGGGGCUCUUUUUCCUCAUUUUGAAUAUGCAGCUCUGACUGGGGUGAUCAUUGAAUUGAUUAUUUAGGUUUUCUGGGAAUUUUGUCUAAUGUAUAACAUUUUGAUCUUCAAGAACAGUGUAAUCCCUUUUGUUUUGUUAUCUUGUUUCUCGAAUUAUUGAAUUUGCUUUUUUUCUUA
Molecule: non-coding RNA, 809 nt
Organism: Punica granatum (pomegranate)
Lineage: Eukaryota; Viridiplantae; Streptophyta; Magnoliopsida; Myrtales; Lythraceae
Source: RefSeq, a predicted model, not a curated record